RNAcentral lists this ribosomal RNA (274 nucleotides) under uncultured bacterium. Its description in RNAcentral is "partial 16S ribosomal RNA". It matches the Rfam family "Bacterial small subunit ribosomal RNA", at positions 523 to 796 of the family's 1533-position model. The record is from RNAcentral.
AUACGGAGGGUGCAAGCGUUAUUCGGAAUCACUGGGCGUAAAGGACGCGUAGGCGGGUUGGCAAGUCAGACGUGAAAUCCUACAGCUUAACUGUAGAACUGCAUUUGAAACUGCUAACCUAGAGUAUGGGAGGGGGAGAUGGAAUUAGUGGUGUAGGGGUAAAAUCCGUAGAUAUCACUAGGAAUACCGAAAGCGAAGGCGAUCUCCUGGAACAUAACUGACGCUAAGGCGUGAAAGCGUGGGGAGCAAACAGGAUUAGAAACCCUUGUAGUCC